GACGAACGCUGGCGGCGUGCUUAACACAUGCAAGUCGAACGGAAAGGCCCUGCUUUUGUGGGGUGCUCGAGUGGCGAACGGGUGAGUAACACGUGAGUAACCUGCCCUUGACUUUGGGAUAACUUCAGGAAACUGGGGCUAAUACCGGAUAUGAUCUCCUGCUGCAUGGUGGGGGUUGGAAAGUUUCGGCGGUUGGGGAUGGACUCGCGGCUUAUCAGCUUUUUGGUGGGGUAGUGGCUUACCAAUGCUUUGACGGGUAGCCGGCCUGAGAGGGUGACCGGCCAAAUUGGGAAUGAGAUACGGACCAGACUACUACGGGAGGCAGCAGUGGGGAAUAUUGCAAAAUGGGCGGAAGCCUGAUGCAGCAAAGCCGCGUGCGGGAUGACGGCCUUCGGGUUGUAAACCGCUUUCGCCUGUGACGAAGCGUGAGUGACGGUAAUGGGUAAAGAAGCACCGGCUAACUACGUG
Molecule: ribosomal RNA, 468 nt
Filed under: uncultured bacterium
Lineage: Bacteria
Description: partial 16S ribosomal RNA
Rfam family: Bacterial small subunit ribosomal RNA
Source: RNAcentral